Molecule: microRNA precursor, 123 nt
Filed under: Glycine max (soybean)
Lineage: Eukaryota; Viridiplantae; Streptophyta; Magnoliopsida; Fabales; Fabaceae
Description: miR393d stem-loop (gma-MIR393d)
Gene: gma-MIR393d
Rfam family: mir-393 microRNA precursor family
Source: miRBase by way of RNAcentral
CUAGAGGAGGCAUCCAAAGGGAUCGCAUUGAUCCCAAAUCCAAGCUUCAAUGUUCUUCUAUCUUUCUCACUCAAAAUAUUAAUUUUAUUUGGGAUCAUGCUAUCCCUUUGGAUUUCUCCUUUA